UACGUAGGGAGCAAGCGUUGUCCGGAAUCAUUGGGCGUAAAGCGCGCGUAGGUGGCUCUGUAAGUCCGUUGUGAAAGUCAAAGGCUCAACCUUUGAAAGCCGAUGGAUACUGCAGGGCUAGAGUACGGAAGAGGCGAGUGGAAUUCCUGGUGUAGCGGUGGAAUGCGCAGAUAUCAGGAGGAACACCAAUAGCGAAGGCAGCUCGCUGGGACGUUACUGACACUGAGGCGCGAAAGCGUGGGGAGCGAACAGG
Molecule: ribosomal RNA, 253 nt
Filed under: uncultured bacterium
Lineage: Bacteria
Description: partial 16S ribosomal RNA
Rfam family: Bacterial small subunit ribosomal RNA
Source: RNAcentral